ACGAACGCUGGCGGCGUGCUUAACACAUGCAAGUCAAGGGGGUUGGAGCAAUCCAGCAACCGGCGAACGGGUGCGUAACACGUGAGCGACCUACCCAGUGAUGGGGGAUAGCCGGCCCAACGGCCGGGUAAUACCGCAUACGCGUCUUCGGGGGCCUCCCUGGGGACGGAAACCUACGGGGUCAUUGGAGGGGCUCGCGGCCUAUCAGCUAGUUGGCGAGGUAACGGCUCACCAAGGCGAUGACGGGUAGCUGGUCUGAGAGGAUGGCCAGCCACAUUGGGACUGAGAGACGGCCCAGACUCCUACGGGAGGCAGCAGUGGGGAAUCUUGCGCAAUGGCCGAAAGGCUGACGCAGCGACGCCGCGUGGAGGAUGACGCCCUUCGGGGUGUAAACUCCUGUUGCCCGGGACGAAUACCUGUUUCGACAGGGGUGACGGUACCGGGUGAGGAAGCACCGGCUAACUCUGU
RNAcentral lists this ribosomal RNA (468 nucleotides) under uncultured bacterium. Its description in RNAcentral is "bacterial SSU rRNA". It matches the Rfam family "Bacterial small subunit ribosomal RNA", at positions 29 to 506 of the family's 1533-position model. The record is from RNAcentral.